RNAcentral lists this transfer RNA (72 nucleotides) under Candidatus Berkelbacteria bacterium. Its description in RNAcentral is "tRNA-Arg". It matches the Rfam family "tRNA". Rfam says of the family: Transfer RNA (tRNA) molecules are approximately 80 nucleotides in length. Their secondary structure includes four short double-helical elements and three loops (D, anti-codon, and T loops). Further hydrogen bonds mediate the characteristic L-shaped molecular structure. tRNAs have two regions of fundamental functional importance: the anti-codon, which is responsible for specific mRNA codon recognition, and the 3' end, to which the tRNAs corresponding amino acid is attached (by aminoacyl-tRNA synthetases). tRNAs cope with the degeneracy of the genetic code in two manners: having more than one tRNA (with a specific anti-codon) for a particular amino acid; and 'wobble' base-pairing, i.e. permitting non-standard base-pairing at the 3rd anti-codon position. Lineage: Bacteria; Candidatus Berkelbacteria. The record is from RNAcentral.
GCCCUUGUAGCUCAACGGAUAGAGCACCACACUCCUAACGUGGCGAUAGAGGUCCGAUUCCUCUCAAGGGCA